UGCAAGUCGAACGGGCUCUUCGGAGCUAGUGGCGGACGGGUGAGUAACGCGUGAGAAUCUGGCUUCAGGUUCGGGACAACAGUUGGAAACGGCUGCUAAUACCGGAUCUGCCUUAUGGUGAAAGAUUUAUCACCUGAAGAUGAGCUCGCGCCUGAUUAGCUAGUAGGUGUGGUAAGAGCGCACCUAGGCGACGAUCAGUAGCUGGUCUGAGAGGAUGAUCAGCCACACUGGGACUGAGACACGGCCCAGACUCCUACGGGAGGCAGCAGUGGGGAAUUUUCCGCAAUGGGCGAAAGCCUGACGGAGCAAUACCGCGUGAGGGAGGAAGGCUCUUGGGUUGUAAACCUCUUUUCUCAGGGAAGAAUAAUGACGGUACCUGAGGAAUAAGCAUCGGCUAACUCCGUGCCAGCAGCCGCGGUAAUACGGAGGAUGCAAGCGUUAUCCGGAAUGAUUGGGCGUAAAGCGUCCGCAGGUGGCAAUGUAAGUCUGCUGUCAAAGCGUCUGGCUCAACCAGAUAAAGGCAGUGGAAACUACAUAGCUAGAGUAAGGUAGGGGUAGAGGGAAUUCCUGGUGUAGCGGUGAAAUGCGUAGAGAUCAGGAAGAACACCGGUGGCGAAAGCGCUCUGCUGGACCUUAACUGACACUGAGGGACGAAAGCUAGGGGAGCGAAUGGGAUUAGAUACCCCAGUAGUCCUAGCCGUAAACGAUGGAUACUAGGCGUUGCCCGUAUCGACCCGGGCAGUGUCGUAGCUAACGCGUUAAGUAUCCCGCCUGGGGAGUACGCAGGCAACUGUGAAACUCAAAGGAAUUGACGGGGGCCCGCACAAGCGGUGGAGUAUGUGGUUUAAUUCGAUGCAACGCGAAGAACCUUACCAGGGCUUGACAUGUCCGGAAUCCUCGUGAAAGGGAGGAGUGCCUUCGGGAGCCGGAACACAGGUGGUGCAUGGCUGUCGUCAG
RNAcentral lists this ribosomal RNA (957 nucleotides) under uncultured bacterium. RNAcentral describes it as "bacterial SSU rRNA". It matches the Rfam family "Bacterial small subunit ribosomal RNA", at positions 56 to 1058 of the family's 1533-position model. The record is from RNAcentral.